UAAGAGCCAAGUGAUAUUUACUCCGUAUCUCGUAGGAUGACCAUUGCUGAGCCAAAGGCGUACGGCAGUUACUGCAGCUGGACAUCGGUGGACGUAGAUGUUAUGGUCAAUCUGAGUCACGGUAGUGCAUUUUCCCUGUUUCAGUGUUGGUUUUGUAAAUUCUGUUGUAGCUACGAAAACGAACAGGGAAACAGCACUCAGAAAGGACAAGGUGUAGCAGAACAUCUCCGGACAUCUAUUUACCAUGACGACCUACAGUAAAAUGAGACAACUCGUCAUGGAUUUCAAUAUUUAUUGGUAUGAGGACGGCGACAUUUUCCUUGGAGUUGAUGAUCCUGGGUAACGUCCCGCAUGCCGCACACAUCAUCACCCGAUUGGGACCAGGAAUCGCCAGCGUUGGCUGGCUGUUCGACAUCGGACCAGUGAUCGCCAGUCAUUUCGUCGUCGGUGGUGGCAGGUAGUUCUCCGGAACCCAAGUCCUUCUACGACUUCCAGAAGGUUGCAACAGCCGGUCCAACGUGUCCGAAGGAUCAUCGUCGUCAUCAUUGCAUCAGUGUACAAGUAAGCAUCAUGUCUUCGUCGAUCUUGCAUAAACUUGACAAGUUAAAGAAAUGUGGAGAGUUUCAAAAAAUGGCGACAAUUCCUAAAAACAUCAAGUAUGAUGUGGUUGAUGUUAACAAAAUUGAAACGAGGUAUGGCGAGGCGGUCUACGUAGA
This is a long non-coding RNA of Ornithodoros turicata, 716 nucleotides long. RefSeq lists it as uncharacterized. The record is from RefSeq and is a predicted model, not a curated record. The transcript has 4 exons. Lineage: Eukaryota; Metazoa; Arthropoda; Arachnida; Ixodida; Argasidae.